Long non-coding RNA from Ipomoea nil (Japanese morning glory), 526 nucleotides. RefSeq lists it as uncharacterized. Lineage: Eukaryota; Viridiplantae; Streptophyta; Magnoliopsida; Solanales; Convolvulaceae. The record is from RefSeq and is a predicted model, not a curated record. The transcript is spliced from 3 exons.
UUUUAUUAAUUACGUGAUUGUUUUUGAAUGUGUUCUAUUGCUAACAUGUUCCACAUUGGUGUAGGGAAUUUUACAUGGCACUGGGAGCGUCCCCCUGCCACAAAGCCAAGGCAUUCUCCCCUUCCUCCCGAACCAGCUGGUUUCUAUAACAAUGCCUCUAUAAUGGCUCUAUUAAUAUUCCACUUGAUAGCAUUGCGGAUUUAGAAAAGAAAGAGAAGGAGUUGCAGGCUAAAGAGGCUGAAGUGAGGAGAUGUUUUUCAGCCGGCUCUUCUGGAUAUGGAAGCUACGGCGGCCACACCUCAUACAGACGUUUUCCCUUGAUAGGCUCUAAUUCGACGCUGCUUCCUUUCCGGCUCUAAUUCUUGUAGUGGUUAUUGAUGAUAAAAUCUUCUAGAUGAGCCUCUUGUGAUAUGUUGAGCCUUUUGGCCUUGCUUUGUUGCAUUGUAUAAAGUAGCCUUUUGGCAAUCUGCAGUGUUUGAACUCAAUUCCCCUCAAUAAUCCAGAACAAUUGAAAAACCCUUGAACA